RNAcentral lists this ribosomal RNA (253 nucleotides) under uncultured bacterium. RNAcentral's name for it is "partial 16S ribosomal RNA". It matches the Rfam family "Bacterial small subunit ribosomal RNA", at positions 524 to 776 of the family's 1533-position model. The record is from RNAcentral.
GACAGAGGUGCCGAGCGUUAGGCGGAAUCACUGGGCUUAAAGCGUGUGUAGGCGGGUCGUUAAGUGUAUUGUGAAAUCCCACCGCUCAACGGUGGAACUGCUGGGCAUACUGGCGAUCUUGAGCCACCUAGGGGCAGACGGAACAAGCGGUGGAGCGGUGAAAUGCGUAGAUAUCGCUUGGAACGCCGACGGUGAAAACAGUCUGCUGGGGGUGUGCUGACGCUGAGACACGAAAGCCAGGGGAGCGAACGGG